RNAcentral lists this ribosomal RNA (406 nucleotides) under uncultured bacterium. RNAcentral describes it as "partial 16S ribosomal RNA". It matches the Rfam family "Bacterial small subunit ribosomal RNA", at positions 29 to 526 of the family's 1533-position model. The record is from RNAcentral.
AUUGAACGCUGGCGGCAGGCCUAACACAUGCAAGUCGAGCGAGCGGCGGACGGGUGAGUAAUGUCUGGGAAACUGCCUGAUGGAGGGGGAUAACUACUGGAAACGGUAGCUAAUACCGCAUACCAUCAGAUGUGCCCAGAUGGGAUUAGCUAGUAGUUGGGGUAACGGCUCACCUGGGCGACGCUCCCUAGCUGGUCUGCGAGGAUGACCAGGCAAACGGGAACUGAGACAGGGGCGAGACUCCUACGGGAGGCAGCAGUGGGGAAUACUGCACAAUGGGCGCAAGCCUGAUGCAGACAUGCCGCGUGUGUGAAGAAGGCCUGAGGGUUGUAAAGGACUUUCAGCGGGGAGGCGUUACCCGCAGAAGAAGCACCGGCUAACUCCGUGCCAGCAGCCGCGGUAAUAC